CCCCUUGCGCCCGCCCCGCCCCCGACCUACAUUCAGCCUGUCACGGGCAACCGUGACUAUGGCGAUAAACGCACCCGUAAUAAACGGAUCGGACCCGGGGGCGGUACCCGGCGGCUCCACCAGACUUUCCCCGCGUUGGGGGCGGAGGGGGCCGAAACAGGAUCGACGAACGUCUAAAGGGGCCAGCUUUUGCUCGGUGAGGUACCACCGUUAUCGGUCCGCAAGUGCAGUUGCCAACGACAACCGUGCUCCGAUGGCUCUGGCUGCGUAAGCAGUUCGAGUUAUCGAAACUUAAGCCCUUGCGCUUAGCCGCGUAAGGCGGGGUUCGCAGGUACCUGGCAACAGAAACCUGCACU
Molecule: transfer-messenger RNA, 356 nt
Filed under: Cereibacter changlensis
Lineage: Bacteria; Pseudomonadati; Pseudomonadota; Alphaproteobacteria; Rhodobacterales; Paracoccaceae
Also listed under: 1 other name
Description: Alphaproteobacteria transfer-messenger RNA
Rfam family: Alphaproteobacteria transfer-messenger RNA
About the family: Bacterial tmRNA, also known as 10Sa RNA or SsrA, is named for its dual tRNA and mRNA-like properties. Its role is to liberate the mRNA from a stalled ribosome.
Source: RNAcentral